GGGUCAAACAUUAGCUCCAAUAAUUGUUCAAAAUAUAAGACAGCUACAUUCAAAUAGAAACUAAAUAACAACUAAAACAUCCAAUGGAACAUAAUUUCACUCUUCAUCACUAAAUGUUUCCUCAUAAACAUGGCUUCAUCCAAAACAAAACCUCAUACCAUUACAAUUUGCCUUUUAAGCAGAAGCUGCUGCAACCUUCUUUCUUGGUGCUGCUUCAGUACCUAUACAUCACCCCCAAUAAAAAAUAAGAACAUUUUGAAAGAAAAAAAAACCCAAAAUUUCUUACAAGAGCAGAAAUACCCAAUGGAACUAAAAUCAGAAUGCAAUGAGCCUAAGGACAUUAGCAUUUUCCUACCUUCCCUGAAACUUGUCUUGAACC
RNAcentral lists this long non-coding RNA (379 nucleotides) under Gossypium barbadense (sea-island cotton). RNAcentral describes it as "long non-coding RNA (GBAR_LNC011692)". Lineage: Eukaryota; Viridiplantae; Streptophyta; Magnoliopsida; Malvales; Malvaceae. The record is from RNAcentral.